GUGAGUAACACGUGGGAAUCUACCCAUCCCUGCGGAACAACUCCGGGAAACUGGAGCUAAUACCGCAUACGCCCUACGGGGGAAAGAUUUAUCGGGGAUGGAUGAGCCCGCGUUGGAUUAGCUAGUUGGUGGGGUAAAGGCCUACCAAGGCGACGAUCCAUAGCUGGUCUGAGAGGAUGAUCAGCCACAUUGGGACUGAGACACGGCCCAAACUCCUACGGGAGGCAGCAGUGGGGAAUAUUGGACAAUGGGCGCAAGCCUGAUCCAGCCAUGCCGCGUGAGUGAUGAAGGCCUUAGGGUUGUAAAGCUCUUUCACCGAUGAAGAUAAUGACGGUAGUCGGAGAAGAAGCCCCGGCUAACUUCGUGCCAGCAGCCGCGGUAAUACGAAGGGGGCUAGCGUUGUUCGGAAUUACUGGGCGUAAAGCGCACGUAGGCGGAUAUUUAAGUCAGGGGUGAAAUCCCGCAGCUCAACUGCGGAACUGCCUUUGAUACUGGGUAUCUUGAGUAUGGAAGAGGUUAGUGGAAUUGCGAGUGUAGAGGUGAAAUUCGUAGAUAUUCGCAGGAACACCAGUGGCGAAGGCGGCUAACUGGUCCAUAACUGACGCUGAGGUGCGAAAGC
RNAcentral lists this ribosomal RNA (619 nucleotides) under Rhizobium sp. I12B-00120. Its description in RNAcentral is "bacterial SSU rRNA". It matches the Rfam family "Bacterial small subunit ribosomal RNA", at positions 106 to 760 of the family's 1533-position model. Lineage: Bacteria; Pseudomonadati; Pseudomonadota; Alphaproteobacteria; Hyphomicrobiales; Rhizobiaceae. The record is from RNAcentral.